This 1371-nucleotide ribosomal RNA is filed under the name uncultured bacterium. Its description in RNAcentral is "bacterial SSU rRNA". It matches the Rfam family "Bacterial small subunit ribosomal RNA", at positions 28 to 1381 of the family's 1533-position model. The record is from RNAcentral.
GAUGAACUCUGGCGGCGUGCCUAAUACAUGCAAGUCGAGCGAACAGACGAGGAGCUUGCUCCUUUGACGUUAGCGGCGGACGGGUGAGUAACACGUGGGUAACCUACCUAUAAGACUGGGAUAACUUCGGGAAACCGGAGCUAAUACCGGAUAAUAUUUCGAACCGCAUGGUUCGAUAGUGAAAGAUGGCUUUGCUAUCACUUAUAGAUGGACCUGCGCCGUAUUAGCUAGUUGGUAAGGUAACGGCUUACCAAGGCAACGAUACGUAGCCGACCUGAGAGGGUGAUCGGCCACACUGGAACUGAGACACGGUCCAGACUCCUACGGGAGGCAGCAGUAGGGAAUCUUCCGCAAUGGGCGAAAGCCUGACGGAGCAACGCCGCGUGAGUGAUGAAGGUCUUCGGAUCGUAAAACUCUGUUAUUAGGGAAGAACAAACGUGUAAGUAACUGUGCACGUCUUGACGGUACCUAAUCAGAAAGCCACGGCUAACUACGUGCCAGCAGCCGCGGUAAUACGUAGGUGGCAAGCGUUAUCCGGAAUUAUUGGGCGUAAAGCGCGCGUAGGCGGUUUUUUAAGUCUGAUGUGAAAGCCCACGGCUCACCCGUGGAGGGUCAUUGGAAACUGGAAAACUUGAGUGCAGAAGAGGAAAGUGGAAUUCCAUGUGUAGCGGUGAAAUGCGCAGAGAUAUGGAGGAACACCAGUGGCGAAGGCGACUUUCUGGUCUGUAACUGACGCUGAUGUGCGAAAGCGUGGGGAUCAAACAGGAUUAGAUACCCUGGUAGUCCACGCCGUAAACGAUGAGUGCUAAGUGUUAGGGGGUUUCCGCCCCUUAGUGCUGCAGCUAACGCAUUAAGCACUCCGCCUGGGGAGCACGACCGCAAGGUUGAAACUCAAAGGAAUUGACGGGGACCCGCACAAGCGGUGGAGCAUGUGGUUUAAUUCGAAGCAACGCGAAGAACCUUACCAAAUCUUGACAUCCUUUGACCCUUCUAGAGAUAGAAGUUUCCCCUUCGGGGGACAAAGUGACAGGUGGUGCAUGGUUGUCGUCAGCUUGUGUCGUGAGAUGUUGGGUUAAGUCCCGCAACGAGCGCAACCCUUAAGCUUAGUUGCCAUCAUUAAGUUGGGCACUCUAAGUUGACUGCCGGUGACAAACCGGAGGAAGGUGGGGAUGACGUCAAAUCAUCAUGCCCCUUAUGAUUUGGGCUACACACGUGCUACAAUGGACAAUACAAAGGGCAGCGAAACCGCGAGGUCAAGCAAAUCCCAUAAGUUGUUCUCAGUUCGGAUUGUAGUCUGCAACUCGACUACAUGAAGCUGGAAUCGCUAGUAAUCGUAGAUCAGCAUGCUACGGUGAAUACGUUCCCGGGUCU